Molecule: ribosomal RNA, 378 nt
Filed under: uncultured marine Chaetocerotaceae
Lineage: Eukaryota; Bacillariophyta; Thalassiosirophyceae; Chaetocerotales; Chaetocerotaceae
Description: SSU rRNA
Rfam family: Eukaryotic small subunit ribosomal RNA
Source: RNAcentral
AGCUCCAAUAGCGUAUAUUAAAGUUGCUGCAGUUAAAAAGCUCGUAGUUGAAUUUCUGGUGGGAGGAUGUGGUGCAACGUAGUUGCUACUGGCAGCCUCCGGCCAUCCUUGGGUUUAGCCAUUCUGGCAUUAAGUUGUCGGGGUGGGGAUGCCCAUCGUUUACUGUGAAAAAAUUAGAGUGUUCAAAGCAGACUUAUGUCGUUGAAUAUAUUAGCAUGGAAUAAUAAGAUAGGACUACAGUGCUAUUUUGUUGGUUUGCGCACCGUGGUAAUGAUGAAUAGGGACAGUUGUGGGUAUUCGUAUUCACUUGUAAGAGGUGAAAUUCUUAGAUUAAGGGAAGACGAACAAAAGCGAAAGCAUUUACCAAGGAUGUUUUCA